GUUAUCAGGUUUAUCACGUUUAUCACGUUUAUCAUGUUUAUCACGUUUAUAAUGUUUAUCAGGUUUAUCACGUUUAUAAUGUUUAUCAGGUUUAUCACGUUUAUAAUGUUUAUCAGGUUUAUCACGUUUAUCAGGUUCAUCACGUUUAUCACGUUUAUCAGGUUUAUCACGUUUAUCAGGUUCGUCACGUUUAUCAGGUUUAUCACGUUUAUCAGGUUCAUCACGUUCAUCACGUUUAUCACGUUUAUCAGGUUUAUCACGUUUAUCACUGAGUAAAUACGUCAUCGCGACACAGAAAGACAGCGUGUAUUGUUUUGGCACAAUGAGAUGACUGAAGAACUGAAAAUGAGUGUGUCUGAGGGAACAUGGAUCACAGCGGUUACUGCGGUUACUGCGGUUACUGCAUCUCUGUGGAAAAUGACCAAAUGUUUCGGAGAAAUAUAACAGGAAUGCUUAUGUACAGGAAAAUAAUGGCUCUCUAUUGUAAAUUAAUUAAAGAUUUAUUGUAAACAAAUCAAAGACGGUCUGUUGUAAACACAUUAAGGCGGUCUGUUGUAAAUAAAUUAAAGGCGGUCUGUUGUAAAUAAAUUAAAGGCGGUCUGUUGUAAAUAAAUUAAAGGUGGUCUGUUGUAAACACAUUAAAGGCGGUCUGUUGUAAAUAAAUUAAAGGCGGUCUGUUGUAAACACAUUAAAGGCGGUCUGUUGUAAAUAAAUUAAAGGCGGUCUGUUGUAAAUAAAUUAAAGGCGGUCUGUUGUAAAUAAAUUAAAGGCGGUCUGUUGUAAAUAAAUUAAAGGUGGUCUGUUGUAAGCACAUUAAAGGCGGUCUUGUAAAUAAAUUAGGGAUGGUCUAAGAGAAAUGUACGGUGGUCUAGGGAAAAUAAAAUGUAGUCUUUUAUUCCUAGUGUAGUGCUCUCCAGGAGUUCAGUGUGUAGGUGGAGUGUCUAAUCAUUUUUAGAUCAACACAACAUCUGCAGGGCUGCUGAGUCUGUGAACACACACACACACACACACACACACACACACACACACACACACACACACACACACACACAGGAAGUGGUUAAAGACUUCGGAAACAUUGCUGCACAGUGCGUUCAUAUGAGUCCAUACACACACACCUAGACACACACACACACUCUUGGAAUUGAUGACAUGUAGCCACAUCCUCUCAAUCAAACAGCAGCAAAAAUCAUUUGGAGUUUUUUUACACUGUUAUAAAAAGGAACGUUUCUGC
Long non-coding RNA from Ictalurus punctatus (channel catfish), 1234 nucleotides. NCBI's taxonomy places the organism in Eukaryota, Metazoa, Chordata, Actinopteri, Siluriformes, Ictaluridae. The record is from Ensembl.